AGCUCCAAUAGCAUAUAUUAAAGUUGAUGUAGUUAAAAGCUCGUAGUUGGAUUUAUGGCUGCUUAGGUGGGUCCGCUCUUACGAGUGUGCACCAAACAUGUCUGGCCAUCCUUUGGGAGAGCCAUAGUGACAUUAAGUUAUUGGUGUGGGGAUCCCAAUCAUUUACUGUGAAGAAAUUAUAGUGUUCAAAGCAGGCUUACGUCGUUGAAUAUAUUAGUAUGGAAUAAUAACACAGGAUUAUUGUACUAUUUUGUUGGUUUGCGCAGAAUAGUAAUGAUUAAUAGGGACAGUUGGGAGUAUUUGUAUUCAAUUGUUAGAGGUAAAAUUCUUGGAUUUUUUGAAGACAAACUACUGUGAAAGCGUUUACCAAAGAUGUUUUCA
This 381-nucleotide ribosomal RNA is filed under the name uncultured eukaryote. RNAcentral describes it as "SSU rRNA". It matches the Rfam family "Eukaryotic small subunit ribosomal RNA", at positions 587 to 972 of the family's 1831-position model. The record is from RNAcentral.